CUUCUAAUGGUGGAUCACUCGGCU
RNAcentral lists this ribosomal RNA (24 nucleotides) under Alpheus cylindricus. RNAcentral's name for it is "partial 5.8S ribosomal RNA". RNAcentral also lists the same sequence under 2 other names. Lineage: Eukaryota; Metazoa; Arthropoda; Malacostraca; Decapoda; Alpheidae. The record is from RNAcentral.